CUUAGUCCAGCGUCUGCUUCUGCGGCUUUUGGUUUCUGGGACCGAAUAGCUGCCGGUCCUUUUCCUUGUAUCUCUUCAGGCACCCUCGUAAGUCAACUUCCCCGCUGAAAUUUUAAGCUUGUUCGGUCGUGCCAAAUAAUGUGGACUUGAUGGUAGGAGCGGCCACAACCAAACCAAAGACAUGGCCUUGAGGGCGGAAGCCAUGAUAGUGGAGAAGAAAGAGGAAGAAGCCAUAUGCCCGGUGAUGUCAGAAAGGCUUCUGCUUUCAACAUUUCGACUAUAAUAAUGAAGCUAAGAGUCACUGUUAUGAGCUUCUAAUGGCCUUGAGAAAUCUGCUUCUCUGAUGGAGGUGAUGAUGGCAGACUUGGCAGGGAGCUGGGAGGUCAUGUUCAGACCUUCAGAAACAGACUGGAGCUGAGACCACAGACGGCACAGGUACCGGUGUCCUUGAUUUCUCAGCUUCAAAGUGAACUGCCUCUGAAGUAGGGGACAUUCACACCUGCGCUGCUGCCGUUGAUUUCUGCCUUCCUGGCUGCAGACUCAACAAGACAACAAUACAUCUGUUGACAUUUUCAAGGCCAUGUUCAUAAACCAAGCAUGGGAAGAUUCUCUUCCACCCUUUCUAAAUGAAAAUGAAAAGGCGCAGGGAAGGAGCUACAUGCAGGAUGUAUCCGGGUACAGCUCUGACUGGAGCAGCUCUUCAACCUCUUGCCCUCUGUCCGGGGCGUGCAGAGGGCCUAGCAGCAUCUUCCCAAGGGGCGUUCUCUAGAAGGUCAUUCCUCCUUCUGCUCAGCGGGCCUCCCUAAGCUCCCCCUGCAUCAUUAUCAGCCCAGCGCUGGCGAGAUCAGCAGGCUUCUCAAUGGAGCAUCACACCACGCCUUGGUAAGCAAGGAGCGCAUAGCCAAGGGAGAUUUUCCUUGACAUUUGUAUCC
Molecule: long non-coding RNA, 932 nt
Organism: Nycticebus coucang (slow loris)
Lineage: Eukaryota; Metazoa; Chordata; Mammalia; Primates; Lorisidae
Exons: 5
Source: RefSeq, a predicted model, not a curated record